AUUAAAAAUAACAGCUAAGCAGCCAUAUUUCUCAGGGCCUGAGCGCGAUCGAAUGAUUAGCAACAUCCUUUGGGUGUCAGUCAGUCGUAUGCAAUUCACUGCAGCUAUUUACCCUCCAAAAAAUCCCAAAAUUCCAAAUCACCAGCGCCUUUUUUUUAUGAAUCCCUUUCUGGGUUUUGCUUUACAGUCCUCGAAUCGAAUUGGGUUAAUUUCAAUUUCAAAAUUUUGAUUUGAUCCAAUCUCAAUUCUUCAUAAACUCUGUCUCUUUCUGUUUACGACUUUUCAUACUUCUGUUUCUGUAGAGUCCACUACUAGGUCAGUAAGUAGGGGUAGGGUUUCUGAAAGCAAAAGGUAGAGAGCAGAAGAUCAUGGAGCUCAGCGCCUUCUGGGUCCACGUGUCUGUCACGUGACUCUGAAGAUUUUCCGUUUGUUUCAGUCGUCGUCUUCCCUGAUCCUCUCUCUCUCUCUCUCUCUCUCUCUCUCUCUCUCCCCCCUUCUCUAUGUUUGUGUAUAUAUGGCUUACCAGCAACAGCAAGGAGGUGGGCAGCUGUUCAAUUCCCCGUUCGGGGACACGACGUUGACGAAGGUGUUCGUGGGGGGGCUGGCCUGGGAGACCCAGAGCGACACUCUACGACGUCACUUCGAGCAGUUCGGCGACAUCCUCGAGGCCGUCGUCAUCACCGAUAAGAACACCGCCCGAUCCAAAGGCUAUGGCUUUGUCACAUUUCGUGAUCCCGAAUCUGCAAGAAGGGCUUGUUUGGAUCCCAAUCCUGUGAUCGAUGGCCGCAGAGCCAACUGCAAUCUUGCUUCUCUGGGUCGUCCCCGCCAACCUUUCCCUUUUCAUGGGCAAGUGAGAUCACCAGCUCCAAUCCUCGGUCGUGUGCAACCGCCUCGAGCUGCUUACAUGGGAAGCCCCAACCCUGCUUACCACCACCCUAUUCCUCAUGGUUACCAGCCCGGGUUCGUGUACCCAUCUUAUGGGUACACAGGAUAUGGACCUGAAUUUGUCUAUCCACAGGGUGCCUACAGUCCUUACAUGACUCAGCAGCAGUACCUUCAGAUAUAUGGGGUACCAGGCACCGUUAACCCUGGCAUAUAUUCAUAUGGACAAUUGGGUCAUUCACUCCCCGGGAGUCAUGGGUAUGCAACGGUUCAAAACUAUGGAGUUCCAGGUCAUCAUGUAAUGCAAUUUGGCGGCUCCAAUGUUGGUGCUGCAUCCCCAGCUGCCAUUCCGACGAUUCAAACACCAUAUCCUGCAGGUAUAAUUGCACCAGCUCCAGGACACACGCAGAUUAUGCUUCCUACUAAUUCUCCUCAAUUCACCAGUGGUUCCGAUCAAACUGCAGGUUGAGUGGUAAAUCAGAAAGGUCACAUCUUGAGGUAAUCCUUAGAUUGCAGCAGGACUAAGAGAAGCUACUGCUACCUAAGUGGCAGGCUCUAAAUCUAGCCUUGCAAGUUAUUAUCUUUGCUUUCUAGAGGUCAUUCAUGGUGGUCAUCAGAGAUACUGCAAAGUCAGCUGUUAGAUGUUAAGGAGGGUGGAAGAGCAUCAUGGGUUGUUGUUUUUUCACCUGGUGGUGUCUGUAAAAUAUGCCGUUGCUGUGCCAUGUGGCUGAAAGUCGCUUGGCGCGAUAUUAUGGGUCAUUGCUGUUUGCCGGAAAUAUGGUUUUCCGACUGCCACAGCGUAAUAAGAAUGUAAAUGUGUAAAUAACGCUAAACCAUCCCCUGCAUCAAAGAAUCAAAUACGAUUCAUUUCACGGACUGGGGACCCAACAUAUGGGUCAAUUGUCUAGUCUCUCACACAUUGAAUUCGGCAGAAAAAGUCAUUGUUCAAUUUGAAUUUGUCUAUUCAAUCCGCGUUUCGUCAUUU
Malus domestica (apple) is the source of this 1867-nucleotide RNA transcript. RefSeq lists it as uncharacterized. The record is from RefSeq and is a predicted model, not a curated record. NCBI's taxonomy places the organism in Eukaryota, Viridiplantae, Streptophyta, Magnoliopsida, Rosales, Rosaceae.